Non-coding RNA from Fukomys damarensis (Damara mole-rat), 102 nucleotides. The record is from Rfam. Lineage: Eukaryota; Metazoa; Chordata; Mammalia; Rodentia; Bathyergidae.
AUCCUUUGGUUCCUGAGCAGGAUGAUUAGGUGUUCAUGCCAUAUGCAUGAGAUGUGGCUCCCUCAAACCUUGUUACAUUGUAGGCACAUUACCCAUCUGAUG